UUCAAUUGGGAAGUCUCUUGGUUUGAUUCAAGUCUUGGGUUUGGGGCUGUGAGAGCGGUCCAGACGGUAAGAGCUUUUGGGACUUUUGGUUUCAGAGAGGUUGAUUAUAAUUCCGGAUCUGUUAGAUCUAUGGUAUAACUGGAAGAAUAAAGUCUCUUCUUUGCUUGAUCUUGCCCCUUGGUUUGUAGAUGUUCUUGUGCCUUUCGUCGUUUAUAUGACGUUGUGUGGCCUGGUUGUGGAUUGUGUUUCUAUACGCCCAUUUUGUGCCUUUCCCUGCUCUCUUUGCCUACUCGAUUCAACCAUUGUCUUCUUUUUGGAUAGCUUCCUUUCUAAGCAGAAGCUUCGUGUUCAAUGUUUGGUAUUAGCUGUCUUCUAGUGUCCAAAGCCUUCUUCUCCUUGGUGUUCGCGGUGUGUGUUUGCUGUCUCAAACCUUCGUAGCUCUCGGUCCAUAGAUUGGAUGUGUUGUUGAGAAGCUUUGCCUCGCUCCUUGUCUCUGCUUUCAGGUUCUGUUUAGAUCUGAUCUCUUAUGAAGGUUUCUAGCUAUACGUUAAAGGACGCUCUUGUCGUCAUCGUCGCAUCCGGAAGUGUGUUCGAGGUUCUAUGUGUGUCUAUGAGCGCUCUUUGCUUGUCGGGUUCUGAGAUCCUUGGUUUCUUGAGAGAUUGGCUCUCUUUAUGAUAGGAGGUGGUAGAUGUUAUUUCUGGUUUGGCCGUGAGCAUCCAUGAUAAAUCGCAUUCACAUGUGUUCAGAAGGAGAGGUUGCUUUGUUCUCUUAGUUAUUUCUUGCCUCUUUAGGGUUUGUAGCUAGUUUCUUCUGCUCCUAGAUUAAGGAGUUGUCCUCUUUCGAUUGUGUUUGACAUUAUUUGCUUUGUAUUUCUCGUUCAGUUCUUUUGGUCCUCUUUGAUAGGGUUUAGAUUCCGGGAAAUUUGUUUGUUCCUCUGGCAAUGUCUCCGGAGACUUCAGUUGUCCGUCGGCUUAAGUGUCCCUUUUUGGACUUUUUUUUGUAAUCGGAUAAUAAAAAUUCAAGUUGAAAAAAGGGUUUUGUGCAAAAAACCAUUUAAGUAAUAUUUUUUUGCAAGACUACUCACCACAUCAAAUAAAUGCAGGUCAAUACUAUAAUCUCAAAAGUCACCCACAAUAUAACCCUUCUCUGUAUCGAUGACGUGACAGUUUAAACACCUUGCUGUUUUGAAGACAAAAAAAUGACAAAACGUUAAAAAAAAAUUAUAAUAAAAAGUAAAAAAAAAAUUUGUCUUCUUCGUUUGCAUCUCUGCAACCAAAAGAAAUCAUAGAACUUGCUGCUCAUUCAAAUACAAUAUUAUUGUCUCUCGUGUGUUCUAAAUACAAAAAUUAUUGUCUCGAAUGUUCCAAACACAAGGAGCAUUUUUCUCCACCAGAUGAAAAAACAAUAAGAAACAAAUCUGAACCAC
RNAcentral lists this long non-coding RNA (1427 nucleotides) under Capsella rubella. RNAcentral describes it as "long non-coding RNA (CRUB_LNC004132)". The record is from RNAcentral. Lineage: Eukaryota; Viridiplantae; Streptophyta; Magnoliopsida; Brassicales; Brassicaceae.